RNAcentral lists this ribosomal RNA (468 nucleotides) under uncultured bacterium. RNAcentral describes it as "partial 16S ribosomal RNA". It matches the Rfam family "Bacterial small subunit ribosomal RNA", at positions 28 to 507 of the family's 1533-position model. The record is from RNAcentral.
GACGAACGCUGGCGGCGUGCUUAACACAUGCAAGUCGAACGGAAAGGCUCCAGCUUGCUGGAGUACUCGAGUGGCGAACGGGUGAGUAACACGUGGGUGAUCUGCCCUGCACUUCGGGAUAAGCCUGGGAAACUGGGUCUAAUACCGGAUAGGACCGCACUUUGGUGUGUGUGGUGGAAAGGUUUUUCUGGUGUGGGAUGAGCUCGCGGCCUAUCAGUUUGUUGGUGGGGUAAUGGCCUACCAAGACGGCGACGGGUAGCCGGCCUGAGAGGGUGGACGGUCACACUGGGACUGAGAGAAGGCCCAGACGCCGACGGGAGGCAGCAGGGGGGAAGAUUGCACAAUGGGGGAAACCCGGAUGCAGCGACGCCGCGUGGGGGAUGAAGGCCUUCGGGUUGUAGACUCCUUUCGCUAGGGACGAAGCUUUUUGUGACGGUACCUGGAGAAGAAGCACCGGCUAACUACGUG